Molecule: non-coding RNA, 1184 nt
Organism: Oncorhynchus mykiss (rainbow trout)
Lineage: Eukaryota; Metazoa; Chordata; Actinopteri; Salmoniformes; Salmonidae
Source: RefSeq, a predicted model, not a curated record
AGAAAAGAGGAUGGACCAGAGAGCAUUGACCUGCUGAGUGGACUAAAGAUGGGGGAGCAAGGUAAUUGACUCAAAUUCCAUUGGGCCCGUGGGACGACAUCACUGAGCAAGCCAGGAACAAAGGCAACAUAGUGGAGGUCAGUGGAUGGGACAGCAUCCUCAACUGUUAACCACAACUAGAAACAGACAGUCGAACACAAAACGACAACCAAACUUAGUCUCCAUGACAACAGGGUGUGGUCUGUGGGGACAGUAUACGGCGGGAGGGAAAAGAUUUGGCUAGAGAUGUUCCCUCCUGCUCCUAUAAUUGUGAUUCAAUGAGACUGAUGCCGCCUCAGGUUAACCCCCUAACAGGUGCUGCCUUCAGCCUGCCUUCUAUAGGAUCUAUCAACUGGAACAUGGACCCUGUGACAACACACUCUCCUGGCCUUCGUCCUCCUCACACUCUCCUAAUGUUAAACCUGUCCUCAGACAAUGCCUGAAGACUAAAUGGCUACACAAGCCCAUGACAAAUGACAGUAGUAGAGAUGUAAAGUUGGCAGCGCCAAAGAGAAGCGCUUCCUGUGUUCGUUCUGUGGGAAAGCCUUCAGUUUCCCCAAACAGGCUGAGAUCCACCAGAGGGUCCACACAGGGGAGAAACCAUACAGCUGCCCCCAGUGUGAGAAGAGGUUCUCCCACCAGCACCAGCUGAAGAUGCACCUGAAGGUCCAUAAGGGAGAAAGGCUGUUUGCCUGUAUGCACAGCAUGUAAUAUAGUACUAAUUCGUUUGUAGUUAAUUAUGUUGGUUUUGGAUGUAUCGGGAACUAGAUGAGGUGAACUGAGGAAAUAAUGAGUAUGAUGAGACAGAGUAGAUAUGGUGAUGGUUGGUGUGAUUGUGUCUGUAAAAAUGCUUCACUGAUGAAGUGACAAACUUUGUCCCUUUAGAGACUGGUGUUUAUAGUGAGAUAAUGAUAGUGCCUUAAUUAAUGUUUACUUGACAUGAAGUAGUGAAGCUGUGUGUUAUGUAAUGUUGAACCUUUUUAAAGUAUUCUCAAAUGUAUUUUAUCAAAGCGAGAGUACCACAUUUACACAAAAGGAAAAGUGUUACCAUAGUGAGAAGUUAUUCUUCUUGUCACUUAUCGUUUUGUGCAAUAAAUGUGAUUUGUAAUGCCGUUUUGUUGAAAUUAAAUACUAAAUGGACUGUU